RNAcentral lists this ribosomal RNA (434 nucleotides) under uncultured bacterium. Its description in RNAcentral is "partial 16S ribosomal RNA". It matches the Rfam family "Bacterial small subunit ribosomal RNA", at positions 29 to 507 of the family's 1533-position model. The record is from RNAcentral.
AGCGAACGCUGGCGGCAGGCCUAACACAUGCAAGUCGAACGAACCUUUCGGGGUUAGUGGCGGACGGGUGAGUAACACGUGGGAACGUGCCUUUAGGUUCGGAAUAACUCAGGGAAACUUGUGCUAAUACCGAAUGUGCCCUUCGGGGGAAAGAUUAAUCGCCUUUAGAGCGGCCCGCGUCUGAUUAGCUAGUUGGUUGAGGUAAUGGCUCACCCAGGCGACGAUCAGUAGCUGGUCUGAGAGGAUGAUCAGCCACAUUGGGACUGAGACACGGCCCAAACUCCUACGGGAGGCAGCAGUGGGGAAUCUUGCGCAAUGGGCGAAAGCCUGACGCAGCCAUGCCGCGUGAAUGAUGAAGGUCUUAGGAUUGUAAAAUUCUUUCACCGGGGACGAUAAUGACGGUACCCGGAGAAGAAGCCCCGGCUAACUUCGUG